RNAcentral lists this non-coding RNA (45 nucleotides) under Schistosoma curassoni. Lineage: Eukaryota; Metazoa; Platyhelminthes; Trematoda; Strigeidida; Schistosomatidae. The record is from RNAcentral.
CUUCGGCUGACGAGUCCCAGAUAGGACGAAACGCGCGUCCUGUAU